Molecule: ribosomal RNA, 105 nt
Filed under: Tabrizicola sp.
Lineage: Bacteria; Pseudomonadati; Pseudomonadota; Alphaproteobacteria; Rhodobacterales; Paracoccaceae
Description: partial 23S ribosomal RNA
Rfam family: Bacterial large subunit ribosomal RNA
Source: RNAcentral
GUCUCCCUUGAGGGCCGUGGAAGACGACCACGUCGAUAGGCCAGAGGUGUAAGCGCAGCAAUGCGUUCAGCUGACUGGUACUAAUUGCCCGAUUGGCUUGAUCUG